This 484-nucleotide ribosomal RNA is filed under the name uncultured bacterium. Its description in RNAcentral is "partial 16S ribosomal RNA". It matches the Rfam family "Bacterial small subunit ribosomal RNA", at positions 30 to 507 of the family's 1533-position model. The record is from RNAcentral.
AUUGAACGCUGGCGGCAGGCCUAACACAUGCAAGUCGAGCGGAUGAAGGGAGCUUGCUCCUGGAUUCAGCGGCGGACGGGUGAGUAAUGCCUAGGAAUCUGCCUGGUAGUGGGGGAUAACGUCCGGAAACGGGCGCUAAUACCGCAUACGUCCUGAGGGAGAAAGUGGGGGAUCUUCGGACCUCACGCUAUCAGAUGAGCCUAGGUCGGAUUAGCUAGUUGGUGGGGUAAAGGCCUACCAAGGCGACGAUCCGUAACUGGCCUGAGAGGAUGAUCAGUCACACUGGAACUGAGACACGGUCCAGACUCCUACGGGAGGCAGCAGUGGGGAAUAUUGGACAAUGGGCGAAAGCCUGAUCCAGCCAUGCCGCGUGUGUGAAGAAGGUCUUCGGAUUGUAAAGCAUUUUAAGUUGGGAGGAAGGGCAGUAAGUUAAUACCUUGCUGUUUUGACGUUACCAACAGAAUAAGCACCGGCUAACUUCGUG